RNAcentral lists this transfer RNA (62 nucleotides) under Urocitellus parryii (Arctic ground squirrel). Its description in RNAcentral is "Spermophilus parryii (Arctic ground squirrel) tRNA". It matches the Rfam family "tRNA", at positions 6 to 65 of the family's 71-position model. From Rfam's summary of the family: Transfer RNA (tRNA) molecules are approximately 80 nucleotides in length. The record is from Rfam by way of RNAcentral. RNAcentral also lists the same sequence under 2 other names. Lineage: Eukaryota; Metazoa; Chordata; Mammalia; Rodentia; Sciuridae.
UGUAGCUCAGUUAGUAGAGCACUUGCCUAGCAAGUGUGAGGCACUGGGUUCAAUUCUCAGCA